AUACUUACCUGGCAGGGGAGAUGCCAUGUCAUGGAGGUGGUUGUCCCAGGGUGAGGCUCACCCAUUGCACUCCAGGUGUGCUGACCCUUGGGAUUUCCCCAAAUGUGGGAAACCCGACUGCAUGAUUUGUGGUAGUAGGGGACUGUGUUUGUGCUCUCUCCUA
Molecule: small nuclear RNA, 163 nt
Organism: Phyllostomus discolor (pale spear-nosed bat)
Lineage: Eukaryota; Metazoa; Chordata; Mammalia; Chiroptera; Phyllostomidae
Product: U1 spliceosomal RNA
Exons: 1
Source: RefSeq, a predicted model, not a curated record